Molecule: small RNA, 1332 nt
Filed under: Pan troglodytes (chimpanzee)
Lineage: Eukaryota; Metazoa; Chordata; Mammalia; Primates; Hominidae
Description: retained intron
Source: RNAcentral
UUGGCCAGAAGGGGAAUAGAAGGCAAACAAUAAAACAGCAGCCCAACUCACCCUUUCUGUUUGUUCCUUAAAGGUCUUCCACUUCAGCACAAUGCUACUGCCUAAAAAAAUGAAGCUCCUGCUGUUUCUGGUUUCCCAGAUGGCCAUCUUGGCUCUAUUCUUCCACAUGUACAGCCACAACAUCAGCUCCCUGUCUAUGAAGGCACAGCCCAAGCGCAUGCACGUGCUGGUUCUGUCUUCCUGGCGCUCUGGCUCUUCUUUUGUGGGGCAGCUUUUUGGGCAGCACCCAGAUGUUUUCUACCUGAUGGAGCCCGCCUGGCACGUGUGGAUGACCUUCAAGCAGAGCACCGCCUGGACGCUGCACAUGGCUGUGCGGGAUCUGAUACGGGCCGUGUUCUUGUGCGACAUGAGCGUCUUUGAUGCCUACAUGGAACCUGGUCCCCGGAGACAGUCCAGCCUCUUCCAGUGGGAGAACAGCCGGGCCCUGUGUUCUGCACCUGCCUGUGACAUCAUCCCACAAGAUGAAAUCAUCCCCCGGGCUCACUGCAGGCUCCUGUGCAGUCAACAGCCCUUUGAGGUGGUGGAGAAGGCCUGCCGCUCCUACAGCCACGUGGUGCUCAAGGAGGUGCGCUUCUUCAACCUGCAGUCCCUCUACCCGCUGCUGAAAGACCCCUCCCUCAACCUGCAUAUCGUGCACCUGGUCCGGGACCCCCGGGCCGUGUUCCGUUCCCGAGAACGCACACAGGGAGAUCUCAUGAUUGACAGUCGCAUUGUGAUGGGGCAGCAUGAGCAAAAACUCAAGAAGGAGGACCAACCCUACUAUGUGAUGCAGGUCAUCUGUCAAAGCCAGCUGGAGAUCUACAAGACCAUCCAGUCCUUGCCCAAGGCCCUGCAGGAACGCUACCUGCUUGUGCGCUAUGAGGACCUGGCUCGAGCCCCUGUGGCCCAGACUUCCCGAAUGUAUGAAUUCGUGGGAUUGGAAUUCUUGCCCCAUCUUCAGACCUGGGUGCAUAACAUCACCCGAGGCAAGGGCAUGGGUGACCACGCUUUCCACACAAAUGCCAGGGAUGCCCUUAAUGUCUCCCAGGCUUGGCGCUGGUCUUUGCCCUAUGAAAAGGUUUCUCGACUUCAGAAAGCCUGUGGCGAUGCCAUGAAUUUGCUGGGCUACCGCCACGUCAGAUCUGAACAAGAACAGAGAAACCUGUUGCUGGAUCUUCUGUCUACCUGGACUGUCCCUGAGCAAAUCCACUAAGAGGGUUGAGAAGGCUUUGCUGCCACCUGGUGUCAGCCUCAGUCACUUUCUCUGAAUGCUUCUGAGCCUUGCCUACAUCU